GGAGGGGAGAAACAACAACCAUAUGUCUUUAUUUCCUGUUAGCUCCAUUUCUGGCCUUUGGUCUCUUUCUCGGAAAGCAGGCCUCAGUGGCCUCAGUUUCUUCCCAGAACCUGCAAUGCCCCACCAAGGUGACAAGAAGUGCAAGGAGUCGGUUUUCACUGCCAACCAAAGAGGUGACCCCCGCAAAGCAACCAUGUUGGGACAGUCCAUUUGCUGCGUUUUGAUUAUUUGCUAAGAGCAAAUACCUUUUCUGUUUGGGUUUUGCUUUUAGAAAAAAAAUGUGGCAGAUGGUGGUGGCUUUCCCCGUCAUUGAAAGAAGAAAGGAGCAUCUUUGAAAGCUGAGCUAGAGGCGGAGCAACUGGUAAACCAGAUGUCCCAAAUUUCUAGCGCUUAGAGGAAGCAUCUGGGAUUGAGCCAUCUCACAUCUGUCUAAUCACAUUCAUUCAAAUGUGAUGGGCCCAACUGGCCUACGUACAUGGCUGCAUAUCACCAUGGGUGGAAAUUAAAUCAGAAUUUGGCUCAGGAGAGAGAUGAAGAGAAAAUGCACGUAGAUAAUUGGCUCAGAUAACAUUCUGUUUCUGGAAGUCACAAAGAGUGGAAAUUGGAAUAUGUAAAUUAAAGAAAAACAGGUAAGAAUUCACAUGAACCCCAACCACACACCCUGUGUAUGUUCUCAUUCUCAUUCUCUCUAUGGUGCCUGUGAGCAGUUGGAGUUUGAAUUUUUCAGUCAGUAAGGUUUGCUGUUUAUUCGAGGGCUGCUCCUAAAAAAUAAUCAGGUCUAGUCAAGAAUAUAGAAAAGUGAAAUUAUGCAUAUUUUCCUGGGGAAUAUAAUAGAUGUUCUCAUAGUCUUACAAUGUAAAAAAAAUGAAGGUAAGACUCUAGCUCCCUUUCUUCUAUCUUUCUGGCCUCAUUUUAGGCUAAUAUUUUCUUUUGCAACCAUAUACCAAAUUAUUACAUAUGGAAGCUGUGAAACUGAAGGUUCUGUAAAACUUUAAAGCCAGAGAACUUAUGACUCCUCCAUAUAGGAAGAGAAAUGGGAGAAUAUUAGGCUGUUUUUAAUACUGGGCAUCUGGUAUUUUUCAGUCCUUAAGAUCAAGUCCGCAAUGGAAGAAGAGCAUUCAUCUGGUACAGGUUGAUGAUUGUGUAAGCCCAAGGAGUGAUGUCAACACUGGGGUUCACCUGAGAACAUGGACAUGGUUGAUGAGGGUUUAGGAGAUGCUCAUACGAAGUCUUCAUAUGUUCCCUGGAUCCCAGCUCUGCCUUCCCACCAGAGAGGAUGUAAUUCAGCCGAGAUGCCCAGAGUCAGCUCUCUGCUCAUAUCUGUUCCGCACUGAAGCCAAUCAUCUGAGAAACCUAAGAAGUGUUUAAUGUAGUUAGGAAAGUGAGGGAUGAAGACCAUAAAUUCCUUUUCAUGUAGCAGAGUAUAUAUGUGAUACUCAUUCUGUGGUAUUUGGGGCAUAAACAAGAGUCGAUGAAGGAAUGUGAAAGUACUCGAAAUCCUGACUUUUAUCUCUAUAAAAAUGGCAUAGGGAUGAAACACACUUGGUUGUUAUGACUGUACUCUUUUCAGAUUUACUACUUGCCUUUCUACUGAUUUUUCUGUGCCACAGGUCUUGACUCCUGUAGGCUAAAUUUCUCAGCCUCUUCUGCUCACUGAUAUAUGGGAAGGUUUGGCCAAAGGUGGGUGACUGGUGGGGAGAAGGAUGAGGGAAUUCAGGGGAUUGCUGAGCCCAUUCUCUAGACAGUGCUGCUGGCACUGGCUCUGUCUUCUCCGUUUCCAUCUCGCAUCAGACGGUUCUUCCCUCUAUGGGCCUAGUCCUACCUAGACACUUUCCAGUUGGAUUCCAGUUCUGGGGAUGCUCCCUCCUGCAGGGAUCUAAGUCCUUCCCAUUGUCUUCGGCUCCUGGGCUCAGCUAGAACCAUCUUUUCCCAUUGUCCCUGUGGUGCUAGGGCUUUCAGUGGUUAUUAACGUCUGUGUUGUAUCAUCUUGCCUGAAUUUCAGCUCUCUGUAACCAGUUCCCCAAAUAAAAUUCCCCCCAUUUACCUACCUUCUGUGAGUCUGUUUGCCUGACAUGACCGUAUUAAGUAUACCCGAUAUAUUAGUGAGCUUCGGAUGAUAUCACAAUGUGCCGUAGACUGGGUGGCAUAAAAAACAAAGGAAUGUAUUUCUCAUUGUUCUGGAGCUGGGAAGUCCAAGAUAAAGGUGCUAGCCAAUUCUAUUUCUGAUGAGGGCUCUCUUCCUGGCUUGUGGAUGGCCACCUUGUCACUCUAU
This 2272-nucleotide long non-coding RNA is filed under the name Homo sapiens (human). RNAcentral describes it as "HSALNT0196826". Lineage: Eukaryota; Metazoa; Chordata; Mammalia; Primates; Hominidae. The record is from RNAcentral.